UUGACACAAGAAAUAGAGUAUGAAUCAGAGGUAACUUAUUUUUAAGAUUUGGGAGAUCUGUUCAAAAAAAAAAUCUGAGGAUCUAUAUGUAAACCCUAAGGACCUAAUCGUGAAUAUGAUAAAAACAAGGACUAAACUGCAAAAUGCACCAAAUGACAAAUUCCACCGCUUAAGCCUCUCUGCCUUCGUUGUUAAGGAAGCAGAGGAGGCAGCUCGUGGGUGAUCAGGGAAAGAAAGAAAGAAAGAAGAAGAAGAAGAAGAAGAAGAAGAAGAAGAAGAGAAAGAAAAUUGGGGCUUUUAGGGUUCUUGCUUUAAUCUUGUCAUUUCGGGUCAAGAUUUGCAAAGGAUAGCGUAUCGCUUGCUUAAAUGUUAAGAAUGGGCUGAGGCAGUGGAAAGUUUAGAAGACGUUGGGCAGAACUUUUGUUAGCAUAUAUGUAGUUGUGUAUAAGCUACCUUGCAUCUAAUGAAAUGUGACUAUGAAUCUAAACCUGUGGAUUUUGUGUAAGUUAAAGGAUCCCUCAUGUAUAGGGUUUUGGAAUGUUAAAUUAAAUUUGUGUAAUGAUAUGAACUUAUGGUAAAUCGAUGAUUGUGGUGACUGCAUAGAUUUCCCCACUUGUGGACUUA
Molecule: long non-coding RNA, 624 nt
Organism: Musa acuminata AAA Group (dessert banana)
Lineage: Eukaryota; Viridiplantae; Streptophyta; Magnoliopsida; Zingiberales; Musaceae
Exons: 2
Source: RefSeq, a predicted model, not a curated record